This 427-nucleotide ribosomal RNA is filed under the name uncultured Acidobacteriota bacterium. RNAcentral's name for it is "bacterial SSU rRNA". It matches the Rfam family "Bacterial small subunit ribosomal RNA", at positions 958 to 1385 of the family's 1533-position model. The record is from RNAcentral. Lineage: Bacteria; Pseudomonadati; Acidobacteriota.
AACGCGAAGAACCUUACCUGGGCUUGAACCGCACAGGACCACCCCGAGAAAUCGGGGCUUCUCGCAAGAGACCUGUGUAGAGGUGCUGCAUGGCUGUCGUCAGCUCGUGCCGUGAGGUGUUGGGUUAAGUCCCGCAACGAGCGCAACCCUUACUCGUAGUUGCCACCCGCAAGGGGGAACUCUACGAGGACUGCUCCGGAUAACGGAGAGGAAGGUGGGGAUGAGGUCAAGUCAGCAUGGCCUUUAUGUCCAGGGCUACACACGUGUUACAAUGCGCGCCACAAAGCGUUGCAAACCCGCGAGGGGGAGCUAAUCGCAAAAAAGCGCGCUCAGUUCGGAUUGCAGUCUGCAACUCGACUGCAUGAAGCUGGAAUCGCUAGUAAUGGCGCAUCAGAACGGCGCCGUGAAUACGUUCCCGGGCCUUGUA